RNAcentral lists this ribosomal RNA (514 nucleotides) under uncultured bacterium. RNAcentral's name for it is "bacterial SSU rRNA". It matches the Rfam family "Bacterial small subunit ribosomal RNA", at positions 8 to 518 of the family's 1533-position model. The record is from RNAcentral.
AGAGUUUGAUCCUGGCUUAGGAUGAACGCUAGCUACAGGCUUAACACAUGCAAGUCGAGGGGUAGCAGGGUAGCAAUACCGCUGACGACCGGCGCACGGGUGAGUAACACGUAUCCAACCUUCCCAUAACUCAGGGAUAGCCUUUCGAAAGAAAGAUUAAUACCUGAUAGUACUUUUUCAAGGCAUCUUGAGAAAGUUAAAGAUUUAUUGGUUAUGGAUGGGGAUGCGUUCCAUUAGAUAGUUGGUGAGGUAACGGCCCACCAAGUCUUCGAUGGAUAGGGGUUCUGAGAGGAAGGUCCCCCACAUUGGUACUGAGACACGGACCAAACUCCUACGGGAGGCAGCAGUGAGGAAUAUUGGUCAAUGGGCGAGAGCCUGAACCAGCCAAGUAGCGUGAAGGAAUGAAGGUCCUAUGGAUUGUAAACUUCUUUUAUAGUAGAAUAAAGUGAUCCACGUGUGGAUUUUUGUAUGUAUACUAUGAAUAAGGAUCGGCUAACUCCGUGCCAGCCGCCGC